Molecule: ribosomal RNA, 819 nt
Filed under: Triticum aestivum (bread wheat)
Lineage: Eukaryota; Viridiplantae; Streptophyta; Magnoliopsida; Poales; Poaceae
Description: partial small subunit ribosomal RNA
Source: RNAcentral
AUGUUGUUUGAAUGCAAAUUGGCAAUGGACGUGUGGAAGUUGCUCGGUCUUGAGCUUGUUAUCAAACAGGCACUGAAAGUUGACAAGGCAGGUGAGCUUGUGUUGGCACAUCAUUUGUGUCUUCCAGAACAACAAAUCCAAGUGUUGGGCUUGCCGAAGUUCAGAGAAACGGUGGCAACGACGGCUUGGUAUUUGUGGUAUGAAAGGCGAAAAUUGACGCAUGACGAAGAAACUCUAAGCGCAUGUCAAAUCAAUAUUUCAGUGAGAGGCUUAGUAGCAAAUUAUACCAUCUCUUAUAGCCCAAAGGCUCUCGUCCGUUCAGAUGCUUGGCUGAAACCAAGGUAUAGUUACGUGAAAUUAAAUGUUGACGCGGGAUUUGAUAGUGACACACUCGUAGCAACAUUUGGAGCAGUUAUUCGGGACCAUAGGGGGGAAUUUAUAGCGGCUGCUAAUGAAAAGAUGGACCUUUGCUUCGACUCGUUCACAGCUGAAGCAAUUGCAGUGAGGUUUGGUUUGAAUCUUCCUAAUACUGUCGGAUGCAGUAAGAUUGAAGUGAAUUCGGAUAGCAUGGAGGUGGUGAAUGCGUUGAGCCAAGGCUACUCUUCUUCAGUCGCUUCAUCUAUUAUAGAUGACUGUUAUUUUAUGUCAUUAGAUUUUUCCCAUGUCAUUUAUGAUCAUUGUAAUAGGGAACGUAAUCGAGUAGCUCAUGAACUAGCAAGGUUAGCUAGGUUUUCUUCUCCGAGUGUUUGGAUGGAUAACGCCCCUGAUGAGGUUAUCCCUUUACUUGUAAAUGAUGCUAUUUUACUUAUGAAUGAAUAA